UGAUACACCAUAAAUUAAAAAUGUUAUUGUGAUUAUUAUACAUGAUGAAUUAAUGAUACAUACCAAGAUUUUGAAACAUUUCACCAAAUCCAUUGUCCUUGUUUUUACCAUAGUAAACAAAAAUGUAAACAUUGUAUACGUCAUCUAUGAAUUAACACAAACAAAAUACACAAAUCUGCUCAUCACAAUUCACUAGCAGCAUUAAUGUAAACACCACUGUAUUGAACAUGCACAUCCAUUACCACACAAGUCAGCCAAUUAAGUCAACAUAGUUUUAGCUGCUCACACAUAUACAACGGAAAAUGUGCUCUAACUAUGUGUGUACAUUCAAUCGAACACGCUGCUCAACUUGAAUUAAUUUUGUUUGUUACCAUCAACAUCAACUUUGACAUUACCAUCAUCAUUGAUUUCUCAACAUCAUCACCAGCAAUAUGUGUUCAUUCUGUGCCUCUAUCAAUGUCAACACUGAUUAAUGAUAAGACACAAAAGAUUUUUUUUUUGUCUUGGCUGCAUAUAUAAACAAAACUUUUUGUGUUGACAACUUGCUAGUCGAAAUUUUCUUUGAGCAGAAGUCUGAAAAUUUUCGUGUUUGUUUAUGCUAAAAGUUUGUUUACAUGGUAUUGAAACAAUCUCAUCUUCAAUCACCAUAUCAUCAUCCAUUCAUCCCACCAUUUCCCUUCCCUAUCAUCAUUGGCUACACGAUCCUCCUGUUGGAUCGCUCUCAUCAUCUGGCUAUCCAUAUCAUUGGUCUGGCCCCAUCAUCAUUGUUUUGGCCUCUUGGUCCAAUCAUUCCUGGCUUCGAUCAUCAGCGUCGUCAUCCACCAUCAUUAUCCGCUGCUGAUCCAUCUACCACCAUUUGCCGCAUUCGCACUUGGUCACCAUCAUUGAAACAACGAGCAAGGAAUUAAUUGAUUUUCAAAAAACCAGAUGGCAGCACAUUCGCCUAUGAGAGACAAAAAAAAUAUAAUUUUACCAAAUUUCACCACCACCAAUCAUCCUACUGGCUCACCGAACACAUGCAAUACACAUAAUCCAACAUAUACACACAAAAACAUCGGACACAUUCUUAAUGAUCAUUUUUUAUUUUUAUUGUUUUUGUAGGCGAAAAACAUGAUAUAUCCGAUCUCAUCACCAAUAAUACAAUGAACAAAAAUUUUUGAUUCCUUUCCAAAAAACCAGAUGGCAGCACAGUCGCCUACGAGAAACAAAAAAAAUAUAAUUUUACCAAAUUUGACCACCAACAAUUAUCUUACCGGCUCACCGAUCUCAUGUAAAACACAUAAUCCAUCACAUACACACACAAACAUCGGACACACCCUAUAUGAUCAUUUUAUUUUUUUUUUUUUUUUUUUUUUUUUUCAAAUUCUGAUUGUUCUAUUUUCAUUUUUCUUUGUAUUUUAUUUUUUAUUAUUAUGAUAUUAUUCAUGCUGGCCAUGUCCGGCGA
Molecule: non-coding RNA, 1444 nt
Organism: Dermatophagoides farinae (American house dust mite)
Lineage: Eukaryota; Metazoa; Arthropoda; Arachnida; Sarcoptiformes; Pyroglyphidae
Source: RefSeq, a predicted model, not a curated record